GGAGGGUACAUGGUCCUACAAUCCCCUUCCAAGGCACACCCCAAUGACCUCACUUCCUCUCACUAAGCCCCACCUCUCAAUGUCAAGCUGGGGACCAAGCUGUCAACACGAGGUUCUUUGGGGCAUUCCAGAUUGAACCCUAGUGGUCUCCCUGGACUGUCGACUGUCACCUCAACUCAAGGAAUCUUCUGGGCCCACCUGGUUCCCCUCCUGUGCUGCAGCCUGGCGACCAUUCAAGGCAGAGAGCUGGGGUAAUUGCCGGGCUCACUUCUGUCUCUUGGGGAUCAUGGAUGUUUGUUGCCUGUUAUCUGAGGUCUGCAAACUGGUGCUCACUGUGUUCUGUCUGUAUUCUCAGUUGUUUCAAGAAGGAGAGUAAAAUCUCAUCCUUGUUAUUUCAUUUUGCCUGGAAGCAGAAAUCAUCCUGAUGAUGCCUUUCCUGUCUGUAGGAUCCGCAGUGAUGCCCCCAUUUCAUUCCUCACAUUGGUGGCUUGUGAAUUCUUUCUUUAAAAUCAAUCUAACUAAAGGCCUAUCAAUUUUAUUUGUCUUUACCAAGAAAGAUUUAAAAUUUCAUUGAUGUUCUUUAUUAUUUGUUUCCUAAUUUAUUAGUUUCUGCUGUUCUUAUUUCCUUUCUUGACUUAAUUCAGACCUAAUUUUCCCUCCUAAGUGGCACUUUGAUUUUAUUCCUUCCUCCUCCUCCUCCUCCUCCUCCUCCUCUUCCUCCUCCUCCUCCUUCUUUCUCUUUUAAAUAGUACCAGCAUUUAAAGAUAUGAACUUCCCACCAGGCACUGCUAUAAAUAAAUCCUGAAAAUUUUAAUAUGAGUUGUUAGGUUAAAAUAUUUUUCUAAAUUCUUUUGUGAUUUGUUUUCUUUUGUCCAUAAUUUCUUUAGAAGUAUAUUGUUUAGU
This 903-nucleotide long non-coding RNA is filed under the name Marmota monax (woodchuck). Lineage: Eukaryota; Metazoa; Chordata; Mammalia; Rodentia; Sciuridae. The record is from RNAcentral.